Molecule: ribosomal RNA, 714 nt
Filed under: uncultured forest soil bacterium
Lineage: Bacteria
Description: bacterial SSU rRNA
Rfam family: Bacterial small subunit ribosomal RNA
Source: RNAcentral
GAACGGCAGCACAGCAGUAGCAAUACUGUGGGUGGCGAGUGGCGGACGGGUGAGUAAUGCAUCGGGACCUACCUGAACGUGGGGGAUAACGUAGGGAAACUUACGCUAAUACCGCAUACGUCCUACGGGAGAAAGCGGGGGACCUUCGGGCCUCGCGCGGUCAGACGGACCGAUGUUCGAUUAGCUAGUUGGUAAGGUAACGGCUUACCAAGGCGACGAUCGAUAGCUGGUCUGAGAGGAUGAUCAGCCACACUGGAACUGAGACACGGUCCAGACUCCUACGGGAGGCAGCAGUGGGGAAUAUUGGACAAUGGGCGCAAGCCUGAUCCAGCAAUGCCGCGUGUGUGAAGAAGGCCUUCGGGUUGUAAAGCACUUUUAUCGGGAGCGAAAUACCAUUGGCUAAUAACCGAUGGGGCUGACGGUACCCGAGGAAUAAGCACCGGCUAACUUCGUGCCAGCAGCCGCGGUAAUACGAAGGGUGCAAGCGUUAAUCGGAAUUACUGGGCGUAAAGGGUGCGUAGGCGGUUUGUUAAGUCUGUCGUGAAAUCCCCGGGCUCAACCUGGGAAUGGCGAUGGAUACUGGCAAGCUAGAGUGUGUCAGAGGAUGGUGGAAUUUCCGGUGUAGCGGUGAAAUGCGUAGAGAUCGGAAGGAACAUCAGUGGCGAAGGCGGCCAUCUGGGACAACACUGACGCUGAAGCACGAAAGCGUGGGGA